AGGUUACUGCUAUCGGUGUUCGAUUAAGCCAUGCGAGUCGUGAGGGGUAAAGCCCUCGGCGGAGUGCUCAGUAACACGUGGACAACCUACCCAAGAGUCAGGGAUAACCCCGGGAAACUGGGGAUAAUACCUGAUAGGCCAUGACAUCUGGAAUCGAGUUGUGGUUUAAACGUAAGGCUCUUGGAUGGGUCUGCGGCGGAUUAGGUUGUUGCCGGUGUAACGUACCAGCAAGCCUGUAAUCCGUACGGGUUGUGGGAGCAAGAGCCCGGAGAUGGAUUCUGAGACACGAAUCCAGGCCCUACGGGGCGCAGCAGGCGCGAAAACUCUACAAUGCAGGCAACUGCGAUAGGGGAACAUCGAGUGGCAUCCACCAUGGAUGUCUGUCCAAUCGUCUAAAAAACGAUUGUCAGCAAGGGCCGGGCAAGACCGGUGCCAGCCGCCGCGGUAAUACCGGCGGCUCGAGUGGUGGCCGAUAUUAUUGAGUCUAAAGGGUCCGUAGCCGGCUUUGCAAGUCCUAUGGGAAAUCCAGCGGCUUAACCGUUGGGCUUUCAUGGGAUACUACAUUGCUUGGGACUGGGAGAGGUAGGAGGUACUCAGGGGGUAGGGGUGAAAUCCUGUAAUCCUUUGGGGACCACCGGUGGCGAAGGCGUCCUACCAGAACAGGUCCGACGGUGAGGGACGAAAGCUAGGGGCACGAACCGGAUUAGAUACCCGGGUAGUCCUAGCCGUAAACGAUGCUCGCUAGGUGUCACGGCAGUCGUGAGUUGUCGUGGUGCCGUAGGGAAGCCGUGAAGCGAGCCACUUGGGAAGUACGACCGCAAGGUGAAACUUAA
RNAcentral lists this ribosomal RNA (833 nucleotides) under uncultured archaeon. Its description in RNAcentral is "bacterial SSU rRNA". It matches the Rfam family "Archaeal small subunit ribosomal RNA", at positions 21 to 859 of the family's 1478-position model. The record is from RNAcentral.